UGAUCCUGGCUCAGAUUGAACGCUGGCGGCAGGCCUAACACAUGCAAGUCGAGCGGAAACGAGUUAUCUGAACCUUCGGGGAACGAUAACGGCGUCGAGCGGCGGACGGGUGAGUAAUGCCUAGGAAAUUGCCCUGNUGUGGGGGAUAACCAUUGGAAACGAUGGCUAAUACCGCAUAAUACCUUCGGGUCAAAGAGGGGGACCUUCGGGCCUCUCGCGUCAGGAUAUGCCUAGGUGGGAUUAGCUAGUUGGUGAGGUAAUGGCUCACCAAGGCGACGAUCCCUAGCUGGUCUGAGAGGAUGAUCAGCCACACUGGAACUGAGACACGGUCCAGACUCCUACGGGAGGCAGCAGUGGGGAAUAUUGCACAAUGGGCGCAAGCCUGAUGCAGCCAUGCCGCGUGUGUGAAGAAGGCCUUCGGGUUGUAAAGCACUUUCAGUCGUGAGGAAGGUAGUGUAGUUAAUAGCUGCAUUAUUUGACGUUAGCGACAGAAGAAGCACCG
This 502-nucleotide ribosomal RNA is filed under the name Vibrio harveyi. RNAcentral describes it as "bacterial SSU rRNA". It matches the Rfam family "Bacterial small subunit ribosomal RNA", at positions 14 to 495 of the family's 1533-position model. Lineage: Bacteria; Pseudomonadati; Pseudomonadota; Gammaproteobacteria; Vibrionales; Vibrionaceae. The record is from RNAcentral.